This 254-nucleotide ribosomal RNA is filed under the name uncultured bacterium. RNAcentral's name for it is "partial 16S ribosomal RNA". It matches the Rfam family "Bacterial small subunit ribosomal RNA", at positions 524 to 776 of the family's 1533-position model. The record is from RNAcentral.
UACGUAGGGGGCAAGCGUUGUCCGGAUUUAUUGGGCGUAAAGAGCGUGUAGGCGGCCUGGAAGGUCAGCUGUGAAAACUCGAGGCUCAACCUCGAGACGUCGGUUGAAACCACCUGGCUAGAGUCCGGAAGAGGAGAGUGGAAUUCCCGGUGUAGCGGUGAAAUGCGCAGAGUAUCGGGAAGAACACCCGUGGCGAAGGCGGCUCUCUGGGACGGUACUGACGCUGAGACGCGAAAGCGUGGGGAGCGAACAGG